CAGUCGCCGCGGUAAUACAGAGGGUGCAAGCGUUAAUCGGAUUUACUGGGCGUAAAGGGCGCGUAGGUGGUUAUUUAAGUGAGAUGUGAAAGCCCCGGGCUUAACCUGGGAACUGCAUCUUAUACUGGGUAACUGGAGUGCAGUAGAGGGUAGUGGAAUUUCCGGUGUAGCGGUGAAAUGCGUAGAUAUCGGAAGGAACACCAGUGGCGAAGGCGGCUACCUGGACUGAGACUGGCACUGAGGCGCGAGAGCGUGGGGGGCAAACAGGAUUAGAUACCCGCGUAGUCCCUGUCUCUUAUAC
This 301-nucleotide ribosomal RNA is filed under the name uncultured bacterium. RNAcentral describes it as "partial 16S ribosomal RNA". It matches the Rfam family "Bacterial small subunit ribosomal RNA", at positions 509 to 807 of the family's 1533-position model. The record is from RNAcentral.